ACAACAGAGCUGCCAACUAGUUUUAUUGAACAGCUGAUGGUGUGUGCGCGUUUUACAAGUUUUCUUAUCAGUGACUUUAGGAUAUUUAUCCAAUUUGUGUGUUAUUAAAGUAUGUAUUACUUCCAAUUUGAUAAAUGUAACGAUGCUCCAUGCAUUCGUGCAGCGCUUGCAGAGAUAUCCGAAGCUCCAGGAGCCUUUCUUAUGUUUAAGUGCCAAAAUUUCGCCUAGCGGAGUGCUUUUCCUAUGGAUUCAACUUCGGGUUGAGGUUUCCGCUGCUGCUGCUGCUGGCAAGUUGCAGCUGCUGACGAACUUGCCUCAAUGCAAAUCGAUGACCACAGCAUGGGGCUGAUCUCUUCCAUCAACACGUCUUUCAUCGAGCACGGGCACUGAGUUGGGUUUAUUUUGCUCUCCGGCAACAGCAGCAGCAGCUUUCAUGUGCAGAUCGUUUGGAAUUUUAAUUAAAUUGGGCGGCAACUUCAUUUUCAUCAUCAUCAACUCAACGACUGCACUGCGCUCAGGCAGUUUCGAGAGCCGUGUCCAAGUGGCUUCUAUCAGAUCAAAUUAAUAUCAGGUGCCAGUUUAGCCCGAAGUGUUUCUUCAACCAACUGCAUUCGAAGUUUGGCUUUGGUAACUGCAUGAUUUCCUAAUUAAUAUACGACAUCAUUUAAUGACAACUAAAUGGUUAGAGCCGGUGUGUAACCUUCCCAAUACUCCGCUGCCAUCUCUGAACUUCAGAAGUCAAGGGCACAUCUCCUCCAGACCCUGUCCCAUGCCCAAAACUCGGCUUGAUUGAUGGCCGCCGCUUCUGUUGACAUCCCUACAUAUAUCAAAAUUGUCCAAAUACCUUGUUAAAUGGCAAAUUAGUGUGGCGGUGAUUGAUUUAGUUGCAUUCUUGCGCGGAAUGAAGUUGCAACCGGCAAACAAUCACGGCCAGACAAGAGAAAGAAAUAGUACACUUGAAAAUAUUUAUUGGAAUUGGGUCCUAAAAACAUAAAUAAUUUUAUCAAGAGAUGGGACAAGUCCAUUGAUAGUAAUCAUGAUUAUUUAAAAAUUAAAUGACUUCAAAAGAAUUGGAUGUUAUGGAGAAUUAUAUAUACUAGUUUUUACAUUUACGGAAAUCUUUUUCCAAGUGCACAACAACUUGUUCAUGAGCUUUGCCAAUGUCAGCAAGGUUCAGCUUGAGUGGCAUCUUUCUUCACCUCGCUGAAGCAUUCCGCAUGCAUCUUUGCAGCAAGUAAAACUCCAGUUCAUAACUCAUUUCUGGGCUUGAUCAUAACUUCGGUUAUGAGUUUGGCUGUCAGUUUCCAAUGUUGUCAACGAAUUCCGCGCAUUGACAGCUGACAAACUUAAUUUGCGGACUGCAAAUUAUUAAAUUAGUGGUACUUAUUAUGCUACCACUACCAGUUCCCCCCUGAGCUGAGUUCAUUAUAAGACCCGCACUGAUUAAUUCAUUGCAUGCUGAAUGCGAAUGCGAAUGGGAACCGUAUAGCAGUAUAGAGCUAUGUGGGGAAUGUGUGCCGUUCGGCUUUGUUGUAGAGCCGCCUUAUAAUUGUAUCCGCGUUACGACUUUAUUAGAGCCUAUGGCCCAGGCAAUCGGAGCAGGAGGAAUCCUCCGCUGAUUGACGUUUCGUUGGGUAAUUAAAAGGCAGAGACUUCGCUAGAAACUGUCAGGUUUUUGACGUCUGCCUACCGAUUUGGCCUGGUCGGUUUGGCAUGGCUUCAUUUACUUUUAGUCAGUGGCUGGCCAGCAACUAAUCAAGUUAACGCUGAACCUGCUCGGUCCAUAUCCAGAUACCGGGCACUCCAGGAAGCCUUGGAUAUCCAUAUGGAUGGGUGGGGAUGUGCGGAUCUGCGGACCUGCGGAAUUGCGGACUUCUGGCGGGGGCGAUUUCGUGGCUAACAUUUUGACACAACUUCUCGGCGUCUCUGGGCCUCUUAGUUCCUGCAUGCUAAUCAGGCCAAGCGCCAGUCCAACUCCCAGACCAAGUUCCAUUUCGAAUCUCAGUCAAAGUCUGGGCUUUUGAGUUGCAGUCUGUGUCCGAGUCUGGCAACUUGUUUGCGGUUGCUUGUUCCGUUUAGAGAUAAGCUCCAUUAGUGUCUGGGGAAAUAUUUAA
Long non-coding RNA from Drosophila gunungcola (fruit fly), 2114 nucleotides. RefSeq lists it as uncharacterized. The record is from RefSeq and is a predicted model, not a curated record. Lineage: Eukaryota; Metazoa; Arthropoda; Insecta; Diptera; Drosophilidae. The transcript is spliced from 3 exons.